RNAcentral lists this transfer RNA (71 nucleotides) under Marmota monax (woodchuck). RNAcentral's name for it is "tRNA.Asp". It matches the Rfam family "tRNA". Rfam says of the family: Transfer RNA (tRNA) molecules are approximately 80 nucleotides in length. Their secondary structure includes four short double-helical elements and three loops (D, anti-codon, and T loops). Further hydrogen bonds mediate the characteristic L-shaped molecular structure. tRNAs have two regions of fundamental functional importance: the anti-codon, which is responsible for specific mRNA codon recognition, and the 3' end, to which the tRNAs corresponding amino acid is attached (by aminoacyl-tRNA synthetases). tRNAs cope with the degeneracy of the genetic code in two manners: having more than one tRNA (with a specific anti-codon) for a particular amino acid; and 'wobble' base-pairing, i.e. permitting non-standard base-pairing at the 3rd anti-codon position. Lineage: Eukaryota; Metazoa; Chordata; Mammalia; Rodentia; Sciuridae. The record is from RNAcentral.
GGGGUUGUGGCUUAGUGACAAAGCACUCACCUAUCAUGUGUGAGGCACUGAGUUCGAUUCUCAACACCACA